Molecule: long non-coding RNA, 1023 nt
Organism: Rhopalosiphum maidis (corn leaf aphid)
Lineage: Eukaryota; Metazoa; Arthropoda; Insecta; Hemiptera; Aphididae
Exons: 3
Source: RefSeq, a predicted model, not a curated record
GUGUAAUAAACGUGGUAUUCGUCGACAGCUUUGCACCAUUUGUUAAAAACGUUGACUUACCAUCGUACAUAGGAUACCUUGGUAACCUGCGAAAUUCAUUACAUACCAAACAUUUUAAAUAAACCCAGUAUUCUAAGUAAUCGAUAAAAAUAUAAUUUUUUUUUCAUAUUAGAAGUAUAUUGCUAGCUGACUUGGCAUUUCCCUUGACUGGCUGCAUUCACUACGUCAUCACACAGUACCUAUGACCUUUGAAACACUGAAUAAUCGUAGCUCGCUGUUCGCGUGUAAUGUCUACGGACAUAAACUAUUUAAGUAUUUAUUCUAUACAGAAACUACGUACUAUUUAUAUAUCCGUGUCUAUUAUUUGCUAAUCUGGAAAAUAGCGGUACAAGACUUGUCUUACGACACCAGUUUAUCUUAUCCGAUUUAGUUAUAGAAAUACUUAUGUGGCGCACACACGCCCGCAUGACUAUUAUUAUGAAAGUGCAUCGAAGUGGAGAUGAUAGGACAGCGUUGUUCAGUUAGUUUUUGAUGCGCAUAAGGGCUGUGGUUACCUAUUGGUUCGAAUCGCACGCCAAACAAACUUUUAUCGUCAAAUUUCUCAUACGUAUUGCCAUCUGGAUAACUUAUCACGGUGGUCCGUGUUGGUGACCUCGUCAGCACUUUGCAUAUACGUCGCCAGACUUUUAUCCUGCCGGAAAAACAAAACUACGAAAAAUACAACCUAUGUGUACUUACAUCAAUCCGUAGCAGUAUUUUUUUCAACUUAAUAAUAUACGCAAUGGUUGCCGAGUGCCAAGAUGAACUGGACGAAUGUAUAUUUUCAAGGUAAAGCGUUCAGCUUUGAUCGUGUGCUUUAUUUACAUACGAUACACAAGACCGAAAAAUACUUUAAGACGAAGAAACUACGAGACAUAUUCUAAAGACGGCUUUAUCCGUUUCUUCCGCGUGUUUGUGAUAUUUUAUUAAUUUUUAAAAUUAUUAUUAUUAUUAUUUUUUUUUGCAUUGAAAAAUGAAUAUUAC